Molecule: long non-coding RNA, 1360 nt
Organism: Galleria mellonella (greater wax moth)
Lineage: Eukaryota; Metazoa; Arthropoda; Insecta; Lepidoptera; Pyralidae
Exons: 2
Source: RefSeq, a predicted model, not a curated record
UGCUAUUUUCUGAUGUCAGAAUCAGUAUUAGUAAAAUGUUUAAGUACCAAAAUAUUUUUUUCUAUUUUUGUACAAGUAAACAUAUAUUGAAAGCCCAUUUUUUUGGCGAAUUUUAGCAGAUUUUAUGUGGCAACACAUAAUGACACUCCUCAAGGGCAAGCCAACCAAUCCAACCUAAAAUCUUUUUAAAAAAGUUACGCGUCUUUGUAUAAUUUUUUUUUUAUUGUUCGAAACGCAUUUUGAGGGAUCCUAGCUUUAGCGUCGAUUUGCUAUCAUUGUAUUUUGCGCGCUUCACUUAUCUACAAAUUUCCAGAUUGGUUGAAAAUUUUAAUAUCAAUCAUUGAAUUAUAAAUCUAUUAAUUAAAUAUUUUAGUUCAUCCUGCUUACCAUCAUAUUCAAAUAAAUAUUCCGUAAAUACAUCAUUCUAUCACCGGAUUGAAUAAUACUGCAGAAGACGGCAGAGGUGUUUUGGCUCUGUUUGGUGAAAAGGCUGAUAAAGAAAAUGAGAAAGAAUAACUUCAGUCUUGUCUCAAAACAUCUCAAUAGAAUAUAUCAAUAUGAAAAAAGCUGACAGAAAAACAUUUUUUAUGCAAUAUAUUUGGGAAUAUGAAAAUAAUAUGUCUGAAAACUGAGAACAAUGAUCUUUAUUUGGAAAAUGCAUUAUGCAUAAAGAUAAAAUUGCAGAGAUUGUCAGUUUAGAAAAUUUGUUCUACAUAAAGAAAAAAUUCAAAACUGUGCUGGUUUACAAAAUUUAUUAUUUAUUAACAAAUUAUUGAUGAAUACUGUUACUUAGAAAAAUUUUCAUUUUACAAACUUGUGGAUACAGUUGGUGAGGUAGAUAGCAGAGAGAUUCAAUUCAAUUAAAUUAAAAUUUUCUUAUUCUUCAUAUAAGUAUCAGCAUUCCAUUUCUGUUUAUAACAAAUUGAAGAUUUCUCUGUAUCUGAAAGAUACUAUCUAGUUAUGCUUAUCAUGUGAAUGGCACUAAUACAAAAAACAAGAGUCCUGAAAAAAAGUUACAUAUGAAGUGAAGAAUGAAUUGAAAUGAAGAAUCAACAAUAUGGCUUUUUAAAAUUCCCAAAUCAUUGUCCUUAAUACCAGUGUGAUGGUAAUUUAGAAAAAAUGUAACAAAUGAUUCAAAGAGUGGAGUAACAAUUGGAAAAUUGUUUAUUCUUUUUACUCUGUCCGAUUGCAUACAAAUAGUUCAUUUAGAGGUAUUUUUAUUUUCUUCUUACUCUACUCGAAGUAGAACAUUCUAUUUGACUUUGUUUCUUUGUAAUUAUACCAAAUAUGUGGUAAUGAAUUAAAGGGGAAAACAUUCAACAAUAUUAUGUUGCACAAUAAAAAUAAAAAAUGGUUAAUA